UUUUGACUUUACGCUCCAUUUUUCUUUCACCAGGCCUCAUGAGAAUGUGUUGCAAAAUGUCAAGUUUGUGACAGGGUUCAGCUAACCACAGUAUCCUCAAUUCAACACCACCCACGGUUUCUAUCCAUUCUGUCCUGUCAGAAGCACAUCAAGCAGCCUCUGAGAGUAAUCACAUCAAAAUCGAUUUUCAUGGCUGAGAGAAAAAUAAUGGAAAU
This 215-nucleotide long non-coding RNA is filed under the name Parus major (Great Tit). Its description in RNAcentral is "lncRNA (ENSPMJG00000016317.1)". Lineage: Eukaryota; Metazoa; Chordata; Aves; Passeriformes; Paridae. The record is from RNAcentral.